RNAcentral lists this ribosomal RNA (472 nucleotides) under uncultured bacterium. Its description in RNAcentral is "partial 16S ribosomal RNA". It matches the Rfam family "Bacterial small subunit ribosomal RNA", at positions 29 to 507 of the family's 1533-position model. The record is from RNAcentral.
AUGAACGCUAGCGGCAGGCCUAAUACAUGCAAGUCGCACGGGUGGUCGCAAGACCACUAGUGGCGCACGGGUGCGUAACGCGUAACCAACCUGCCCCGAUCUGGGGGAUAGCCCGCCGAAAGGCGGAUUAAUACCGCAUAUACCCGCAGCCUGGCAUCAGGCAACGGGGAAAGAUUUAUUGGAUCGGGAUGGGGUUGCGUGACAUUAGCUAGUUGGCGGGGUAAGGGCCCACCAAGGCGACGAUGUCUAGGGGACCUGAGAGGGUGAUCCCCCACACUGGCACUGAGAUACGGGCCAGACUCCUACGGGAGGAAGCAGUAGGGAAUAAUGGGCAAUGGGCGAGAGCCUGACCCAGCCAUGCCGCGUGCCGGAUGAAGGCCUUCUGGGUUGUAAACGGCUUUUCUCAGGGAAGAAAAAGACCUUGCGAGGUACACUGACGGUACCUGAGGAAUAAGCACCGGCUAACUCCGUG